Molecule: ribosomal RNA, 1390 nt
Filed under: uncultured bacterium
Lineage: Bacteria
Description: bacterial SSU rRNA
Rfam family: Bacterial small subunit ribosomal RNA
Source: RNAcentral
AGAGUUUGAUUCUGGCUCAGGACGAACGCUGGCGGCGUGCCUAACACAUGCAAGUCGAACGAAGCAUUAAGACGGAAACCUUCGGGAGGAAGACUUAAUGACUUAGUGGCGGACGGGUGAGUAACGCGUGAGCAACCUGCCUUUCGGAGAGGGACAACGUUUGGAAACGGACGCUAAUACCUCAUGAGAUAGUAGAGUCGCAUGUCUUAGCUAUCAAAGAUUUAUCGCCGAGAGAUGGGCUCGCGUCCGAUUAGAUAGUUGGUGAGGUAACGGCUCACCAAGUCGACGAUCGGUAGCCGGACUGAGAGGUUGAACGGCCACAUUGGGACUGAGACACGGCCCAGACUCCUACGGGAGGCAGCAGUGGGGGAUAUUGCACAAUGGGGGGAACCCUGAUGCAGCAACGCCGCGUGAGGGAAGACGGUUUUCGGAUUGUAAACCUCUGUCCUUGGUAACGAAGAAAGUGACGGUAGCCGAGGAGGAAGCCACGGCUAACUACGUGCCAGCAGCCGCGGUAAUACGUAGGUGGCGAGCGUUGUCCGGAAUUACUGGGUGUAAAGGGAGCGCAGGCGGGGAAGCAAGUCAGCUGUGAAAACCACGGGCUUAACCUGUGGACUGCAGUUGAAACUGUUUUUCUUGAGAGAAGUAGAGGUAGGCGGAAUUCCGAGUGUAGCGGUGAAAUGCGUAGAUAUUCGGAGGAACACCGGUGGCGAAGGCGGCCUACUGGGCUUCAACUGACGCUGAGGCUCGAAAGUGUGGGGAGCAAACAGGAUUAGAUACCCUGGUAGUCCACACUGUAAACGAUGAUUGCUAGGUGUGGGGGGACUGACCCCUUCCGUGCCGGAGUUAACGCAAUAAGCAAUCCACCUGGGGAGUACGACCGCAAGGCUGAAACUCAAAGGAAUUGACGGGGGCCCGCACAAGCAGUGGAUUAUGUGGUUUAAUUCGAAGCAACGCGAAGAACCUUACCAGGUCUUGACAUCCGACUAACGAGAUAGAGAUAUGUCAGGUGCCCUUCGGGGAAAGUCGAGACAGGUGGUGCAUGGUUGUCGUCAGCUCGUGUCGUGAGAUGUUGGGUUAAGUCCCGCAACGAGCGCAACCCCUGCCAUUAGUUGCUACGCAAGAGCACUCUAAUGGGACCGCUACCGACAAGGUGGAGGAAGGCGGGGACGACGUCAAAUCAUCAUGCCCCUUAUGACCUGGGCUACACACGUAAUACAAUGGCCAUUAACAGCAAGAAGCGAAAUCGUGAGAUAGAGCAAAACUCUAAAAAUGGUCUCAGUUCGGAUCGCAGGCUGCAACCCGCCUGCGUGAAGUUGGAAUUGCUAGUAAUCGCGGAUCAGCAUGUCGCGGUGAAUACGUUCCCGGGCCUUGCACACACCGCCCGUCA